GUGGGAGAGGCUUAGUGGUUUGGCGUGAGAUUGCAAAUCUUGAGGUCGUGGGUUCGAUUCCCACCUUCCACU
Mycosarcoma maydis (corn smut) is the source of this 72-nucleotide non-coding RNA. The record is from the annotation of a RefSeq genome assembly. NCBI's taxonomy places the organism in Eukaryota, Fungi, Basidiomycota, Ustilaginomycetes, Ustilaginales.